CAGCCGCCGCGGGAACACGUAGGGCGCAAGCGUUAUCCGGAAUUAUUGGGCGUAAAGAGCUCGUAGGCGGUUUGUCGCGUCUGCCGUGAAAGUCCGGGGCUCAACCCCGGAUCUGCGGUGGGUACGGGCAGACUAGAGUGAUGUAGGGGAGACUGGAAUUCCUGGUGUAGCGGUGAAAUGCGCAGAUAUCAGGAGGAACACCGAUGGCGAAGGCAGGUCUCUGGGCAUUAACUGACGCUGAGGAGCGAAAGCAUGGGGAGCGAACAGGAUUAGAUACCCCUGUAGUCCCUGUCUCUUAUAU
Molecule: ribosomal RNA, 301 nt
Filed under: uncultured bacterium
Lineage: Bacteria
Description: partial 16S ribosomal RNA
Rfam family: Bacterial small subunit ribosomal RNA
Source: RNAcentral